This 742-nucleotide ribosomal RNA is filed under the name Saccharomyces cerevisiae (brewer's yeast). Lineage: Eukaryota; Fungi; Ascomycota; Saccharomycetes; Saccharomycetales; Saccharomycetaceae. The record is from RNAcentral.
AUAAUAAAAAAAAUAAAUAAUAUAAAAAGAAUAUUAAAUAAUAAUAAUAUAAAUAUUAAUAAUAAAUUACAACAUUUAAAUAAUAUAAAUAAUUGAAAUCUACAAAAAUUUAUUAAUAUAAAAAAAUAAAAAUAUAAACUAUAAAUAUAAAUUACUAUAAAUGAUAAAUUAAUUAAUAAAUUAUUAUAUAAAAUAAUAACUUUAAAAUUAAAUAAUAUAAAUAUUAAUAAAAUUAUUAUAAGUAAACUUAUUAAUCAACAUAGUUUAAAUAAAUUAAAUAUUAAAUUUUUUAUUAUUAUAAUAAUAAUAAUAAUAAUAAUAAUAAUAAUAAUAAUAAUAAUAAUAAUUAUUAUAUAAAUAUAAUAAUAAUAAUAAUAAUAAUAAUAAUAAUAAUAAUAAUAAUAAUAAUAAUAAUAAUAAUAAUAAUAAUAAUAAUUAUAUUGGUAAUAUUAAUAAUAUUUAUAAUAAUAUAACUAUUGAUAAUAUUCCUAUAGAUAUUUUAAUAUAUAAAUAUUUAGUUGGUUGAUCUAUUAAAUUUAAAGGUAGAUUAAGUAAUAAUAAUGGUAGAACUAGUACACUUAAUUUAUUAAAUGGUACUUUUAAUAAUAAAAAAUAUUUAUGAAGUAAUAUUAAUAAUAAUUAUAAAUUAAAUUAUAUCCCUUCUAAUCAUAAUUUAUAUAAUAAUUCUAAUAUUAAUAAAAAUGGUAAAUAUAAUAUUAAAGUUAAAUUAAACUUUAUUUAA